GACGAACGCUGGCGGCGUGCCUAAUACAUGCAAGUAGAACGCUGAAGGAGGAGCUUGCUUCUCUGGAUGAGUUGCGAACGGGUGAGUAACGCGUAGGUAACCUGCCUGGUAGCGGGGGAUAACUAUUGGAAACGAUAGCUAAUACCGCAUAAGAUUGACUAUUGCAUGAUAGUCAGUUAAAAGGUGCAAUUGCAUCACUACCAGAUGGACCUGCGUUGUAUUAGCUAGUUGGUGGGGUAACGGCUCACCAAGGCGACGAUACAUAGCCGACCUGAGAGGGUGAUCGGCCACACUGGGACUGAGACACGGCCCAGACUCCUACGGGAGGCAGCAGUAGGGAAUCUUCGGCAAUGGACGGAAGUCUGACCGAGCAACGCCGCGUGAGUGAAGAAGGGUGUCGGAUCGUAAAGCUCUGUUGUAAGAGAAGAACGAGUGUGAGAGUGGAAAGUUCACACUGUGACGGUAUCUUACCAGAAAGGGACGGCUAACUACGUG
This 495-nucleotide ribosomal RNA is filed under the name uncultured bacterium. RNAcentral's name for it is "partial 16S ribosomal RNA". It matches the Rfam family "Bacterial small subunit ribosomal RNA", at positions 28 to 507 of the family's 1533-position model. The record is from RNAcentral.